GCCUACAGCCAUACCACCCUGAGAACGCCCGAUCUCGUCUGAUCUCGGAAGCUAAGCAGGGUCGGGCCCGGUUAGUACUUGGAUGGGAGACCGCCUGGGAAUACCGGGUGCUGUAGGCU
Molecule: ribosomal RNA, 119 nt
Filed under: Herpetotheres cachinnans
Lineage: Eukaryota; Metazoa; Chordata; Aves; Falconiformes; Falconidae
Also listed under: 1 other name
Source: RNAcentral